Molecule: RNA transcript, 1242 nt
Organism: Salmo salar (Atlantic salmon)
Lineage: Eukaryota; Metazoa; Chordata; Actinopteri; Salmoniformes; Salmonidae
Source: RefSeq, a predicted model, not a curated record
AGGCACAGACACGGGCUCAAUGGGGAUAGCUGAUCUGACUACACAGACUGUGCUAGUGGCAGACUCCACUAAACUGGCUAACAGCCUGCACCCUAUCUUAUCAAUCUUUCAGCGGCAUAAGCAAAGCAGGGAGCAUAUACAUGCCCACAUCAGAUGUAAGCUUCUGGGAAAAAGCCGCAUCGAUUAUGUAAUGGACGUAGGUUUGGUAUUCAAACUGCGCAACACAACGAGAAAGUAAGAAGAAACAGGGACGUUAUCAAGCGGUUUAUCGACAUCACUGCAGUUUAGAGAACAUGAAGAGAGUCAAAUCCUGUCCUGCCCUCAGUGGAAGAGUUGAGCUAUUCUCCAACACCAUCCAUCCAUGAUGAGGCUGUCCUGCACUGAAGCCUGUGAACACCUCAACCCCUGUCCUGCACUGAAGUCAAGCCUCUGAACACCUCAACUCAUGCAUUAUACCCUCAUUCAAUCACUCUUGUGAUCCCUUCCCAACAAUUUUCAGAUCCAACUGACAGGCUUUCGGGGUCCAGCUUCAGAUCCAACUGACAGGCUUUCGGGGUCCAGCUUCAGAUCCAACUGACAGGCUUUCGGGGUCCAGCUCCAACUGACAGGUUGAAUACCAUGUGCAAUUUUUUGUUGUUGACGAUUCUAUCAGCCAAUCAGGGCCUGUAUCCACAAAUCAUCUCAGAAAAGGUCCUAGGAAUCCUGUUAAACCUUGUUUUAAGAAGAAGAAAAAAACUCCCAGCUCAGAGUAUGUUUUAGGAUGAUGUUAAGACACUGCUCAGACAAACUGAGCCAGGAGUAAAAUCAACUCAUAAAAGUUUCUCAGCUGGUAAUCAUGACAGUUUGAGGUACCGCAAAGGAAAGCUAGUGACGCUCAUAGACAUUGUUGCAAAUUUUGGGGAAUAACCAAUCGCGAUGAGGCAUCGCCAGCUGUGAACUCUAUAGCAUGCUUCAGACAACUACGGGGAACGUGACUGUACAUCAAAUGUUGAGAUGGUAAAACUUUGCCAACUCACUUUGCCAACUCUUAAUUCUUGCCUAAUAUGAUGACAUAUCUGUGAUAAUGCCUUAAAUCUUCUUUACUUGACAGGAAGUAGUGAAGCUGUGUGUAAUGUAAUGUUCUAAAAUCCAUUUCAUCAAAGUGAGGGUAUCAGAUUUACAGAAAAUGUAAAGUGUUAGCAUAGUGAGAAGUUUUUCUACGAGAUCAUGUAUUGUUUUGUGCAAUAAAAGUACUGUACUUUA